CAUUAUUGAAAUAAAUCUGAACAGGYUGUUGCUGGUCUUUGACAAGUGCACGCUUGUUUUCUUUAUUUUUCCAACUGUGCACAUAUUGUAGAUCUGGAGUAUUUCUUAUUGCUUCAAAUAGAUUGAGGAGUUGCUGCAAAAGUCAGCUUCACCUUGUAUUUUCUAGGUCUAUGUUCACACAUUUUCACAAUGUCAUAGAAUGUAUUGAGUAAUGGAAAUAACAAAUAUACAACUUUCAGCAACGGAUCUCUUGGCUCUCGCAUCGAUGAAGAACGCAGCGAAAUGCGAUAAGUAAUGUGAAUUGCAGAAUUCAGUGAAUCAUCGAAUCUUUGAACGCAUCUUGCGCUCCUUGGUAUUCCGAGGAGCAUGCCUGUUUGAGUGUCAUCAAGUUCUCAACCACCAUGUUUUUGUGUGUGGCUUGGAUUUGGGGGUAUCUGUUGUGCAGGCUUUAUCAAGUCAGCUCCCCUGAAAAGCAUUAGUGGUAUCUGAGCAAAAACUACUAUAGGUGUGAUAACUAUCUAUGCCUUGGUAUAUAAUGCAUGAACAGACUACACUGCUUGCAAACUUUGAAAUUGACCAAUUUGACCUCAAAUCAGGUAGGACUACCCGCUGAACUUAAGCAUAUCAAUAAGCGGAGGAAAAGAAACUAACAAGGAUUCCCCUAGUAACUGCGAGUGAAGCGGGAAAAGCUCAAAUUUGAAAUCUGGCGGUUUUUGACCGUCCGAGUUGUAAUCUAGAGAAGUGUUACCUGUGCAGGACCAUGUACAAGUCUCCUGGAAUGGAGCGUCAUAGAGGGUGAGAAUCCCGUCUUUGACAUGGACUACCUGUGCAUUAUGGUGUGCUCUCGAAGAGUCGAGUUGUUUGGGAAUGCAGCUCAAAAUGGGUGGUAAAUGCCAUCUAAAGCUAAAUAUUGGCGAGAGACCGAUAGCGAACAAGUACCGUGAGGGAAAGAUGAAAAGAACUUUGGAAAGAGAGU
RNAcentral lists this ribosomal RNA (976 nucleotides) under uncultured Inocybe. Its description in RNAcentral is "eukaryotic LSU rRNA". The stretch from base 583 to 976 matches the Rfam family "Eukaryotic large subunit ribosomal RNA", at positions 1 to 388 of the family's 3401-position model. Lineage: Eukaryota; Fungi; Basidiomycota; Agaricomycetes; Agaricales; Cortinariaceae. The record is from RNAcentral.